Molecule: non-coding RNA, 381 nt
Organism: Notechis scutatus (mainland tiger snake)
Lineage: Eukaryota; Metazoa; Chordata; Lepidosauria; Squamata; Elapidae
Source: the annotation of a RefSeq genome assembly
GUAGCAAAAAUGUGGCUAAACCUUGUGUUCUUACUAGGAGUCCUCAAAGGAGUCCAAACUCAAGUACAGUUGGUGGAGUCUGGAGGGGAUGUGAGAAGACCUGGGGAGUCCAUCCAUCUCUCCUGCCAAGCCUCUGGCUUCACCUUCAGCAGCUACUGGAUGGGCUGGGUGAGACAGGCUCCAGGGAAAGGACUGGAAUGGGUUACAAGCAUAGCUACAACUUCCACUUACUACUCAGACAAGGUGAAGGGCCGCUUCACCAUCUCCAGGGACAAUGCCAAAAGCCAGCUGUAUCUGCAAAUGAAUAACCUUAAAGCUGAAGACACGCUGAUUGGUGUGGCAGAGCCUCAGCUGGUGUUUGGAAAGCUGGGCAUGCAUUAA